AGAGUUUGAUCCUGGCUCAGGAUAAACGCUGGCGGCGUGCUUAAUACAUGUAAGUCGAACGGGGAUUUUAGCAAUAGAAUUCUAGUGGCGAACGGGUGAGUAACGCGUAGGCGACCUGCCCCGAAGCUUGGGAUAACAGAUCGAAAGGUCUGCUAAUACCGAAUGAUCUCUCAUGGGUUAGAGUCCAGGAGAGGAAAGGCGAAAGCCGCUUUGGGAGGGGCCUGCGUCCCAUCAGCUAGUUGGUAAGGUAACGGCUUACCAAGGCGACGACGGGUAGGGGACCUGAGAGGGUGGCCCCCCACACUGGCACUGAAACACGGGCCAGACACCUACGGGUGGCAGCAGUAGGGAAUAUUGCACAAUGGGCGAAAGCCUGAUGCAGCAACGCCGCGUGCGCGAUGAAGGCCUUCGGGUCGUAAAGCGCUUUUCUGGGAGAAGAGGAAGGACAGUAUCCCAGGAAGAAGGCUCGGCUAACUACGUGCCAGCAGCCGCGGUAAAACGUAGGAGCCAAGCGUUAUCCGAAUUCACUGGGCGUAAAGCGCGUGCAGGCGGUUUGGUAAGUUGGAUGUGAAAUCUCCCGGCUCAACUGGGAGAGGACGUUCAAUACUGUCAGACUAGAGGGUGACAGAGGGAGGUGGAAUUCCCGGUGUAGUGGUGAAAUGCGUAGAUAUCGGGAGGAACACCAGUGGCGAAAGCGGCCUCCUGGGUCGCACCUGACGCUCAGACGCGAAAGCUAGGGGAGCAAACGGGAUUAGAAACCCCGGUAGUCCUAGCUGUAAACGAUGUAGACUUGGUGUUGGUGGUGUAAAAAGCCAUCAGUACCGGAGCCAACGCGAUAAGUCUACCGCCUGGGGACUACGGCCGCAAGGUUAAAACUCAAAGGAAUUGACGGGGGCCCGCACAAGCAGCGGAGCGUGUGGUUUAAUUCGAUUUUACGCGAAGAACCCUACCCGGGUUUGACAUACAGGUGGUAGGGAAACGAAAGUGGACCGACCCUUCGGGGAGCCUGAACAGGUGCUGCAUGGCUGUCGUCAGCUCGUGUCGUGAGAUGUCCGGUUAAGUCCGGUAACGAGCGCAACCCUCGCCACAUGUUACAAGUGCCAUGUGGGACUGCCGGUAUCAAGCCGGAGGAAGGUGAGGAUGACGUCAAGUCAGCAUGGCCUUUAUGUCCGGGGCUACACACACGCUACAAUGGCCAGCACAAUGGGUAGCAAAGCCGCGAGGUAGAGCAAAUCCCGCAAAGUUGGUCUCAGUUCAGAUUGCAGGCUGCAACCCGCCUGCAUGAAGAUGGAGUUGCUAGUAACCGCGCGUCAGCAUUAGUGCGGUGAAUACGUUCCCGGGCCUUGUACACACCGCCCGUCACGUCAUGGGAGCUGGCAACACCUGAAGCCGGUAUCCUAACCGUAAGGAGGGAGCCGUCGAAGGUGGGGCUGGUGACUGGGACGAAGUCGUAACAAGGUA
Molecule: ribosomal RNA, 1461 nt
Filed under: metagenome
Description: bacterial SSU rRNA
Rfam family: Bacterial small subunit ribosomal RNA
Source: RNAcentral